UACGUAGGGUGCGAGCGUUGUCCGGAAUUACUGGGCGUAAAGAGCUCGUAGGUGGUUUGUCGCGUCGUCUGUGAAAGCCCGGGGCUCAACCCCGGAAUUGCUUUGGAUACUGCCUGGCUUGAGUAUGCGAGAGGAAAGCGGAAUUCCAGGUGUAGCGGUGAAAUGCGUAGAUAUCUGGAGGAACACCGGUGGCGAAAGCGGCUUUCUGGCGCAUAACUGACGCUGAGGCUCGAAAGCGUGGGGAGCGAACGGGAUUAGAUACCCGGGUAGUCCCUGA
Molecule: ribosomal RNA, 277 nt
Filed under: uncultured prokaryote
Description: partial 16S ribosomal RNA
Rfam family: Bacterial small subunit ribosomal RNA
Source: RNAcentral